GAAGAGGGCUGAGCUGGAGUAGGUCUGGAGGCUGGGUCAUGGGCCAGGGACUAUGAAAAUUAUGUUAGACAAAAAGCAAAUUCGAGAGAUUUUAUUUGAGUUCAAAAUGGGUUGUAAAGCAUCAGAGACAACUUGCAACAUCAAUAACGCAUUUGGCCCAGGAUCUGCUAAUGAACGUACAGUGCAGUGGUGGUUCGAGAAGUUUUGCAAAGGGGACGAGAUCCU
RNAcentral lists this long non-coding RNA (225 nucleotides) under Homo sapiens (human). RNAcentral describes it as "HSALNT0300614". Lineage: Eukaryota; Metazoa; Chordata; Mammalia; Primates; Hominidae. The record is from RNAcentral.